UCAUACGUAGGACCCAAGCGUUAUCCGGAUUGACUGGGCGUAAAGAGUUGCGUAGGUGGUUUGUUAAGCGAAUAGUGAAAUCUUGUGGCUCAACCAUAAGGCUAUUAUUCGAACUGGCAAACUCGAGAACAGGAGAGGUAUCUGGAAUUCCCAGUGUAGGAGUGAAAUCCGUAGAUAUUGGGAGGAACACCAAUGGCGUAGGCAGGAUACUGGACUGUUUCUGACACUAAGGCACGAAAGCGUGGGGAGCGAACUGGAUUAGAUACCCAGGUAGUCCACGCUGUAAACUAUGGAUGCUAGCAGUAAGCCGUAUCGACCCGGUUUGUUGCGAAGCUAACGCGUUAAGCAUCCCGCCUGGGUAGUACGAACGCAAGUUUA
This 378-nucleotide ribosomal RNA is filed under the name uncultured bacterium. RNAcentral describes it as "bacterial SSU rRNA". It matches the Rfam family "Bacterial small subunit ribosomal RNA", at positions 521 to 896 of the family's 1533-position model. The record is from RNAcentral.